This 392-nucleotide ribosomal RNA is filed under the name uncultured bacterium. Its description in RNAcentral is "partial 16S ribosomal RNA". It matches the Rfam family "Bacterial small subunit ribosomal RNA", at positions 523 to 918 of the family's 1533-position model. The record is from RNAcentral.
AUACGGAGGAUCCGAGCGUUAUCCGGAUUUAUUGGGUUUAAAGGGUGCGCAGGCGGCCUUUUAAGUCAGCGGUUAAAUCGUGGGGCUCAACCCCAUUCUGCCGUUGAUACUGGGUGGCUUGAUUGCGGUCGAGGUUGGCGGAAUUCGUUGUGUAGCGGUGGAAUGCAUAGAUAUGACGAAGAACACCGAUUGCGUAGGCAGCUGACCAGACCGCAAAUGACGCUCAUGCACGAAAGUGCGGGGAUCGAACAGGAUUAGAUACCCUGGUAGUCCGCACAGUAAACGAUGAAUACUUGUUUUCAGCGAUAUAAUGUCGGAGGCAAAGCGAAAGCGAUAAGUAUUCCACCUGGGGAGUACGCCGGCAACGGUGAAACUUAAAGGAAUUGACGGGG